Molecule: unclassified non-coding RNA, 344 nt
Filed under: soil metagenome
Description: partial contains 5.8S ribosomal RNA, internal transcribed spacer 2, and large subunit ribosomal RNA
Rfam family: 5.8S ribosomal RNA (bases 1-120)
Source: RNAcentral
GAUGAAGAACGCAGCGAAAUGCGAUACGUAAUGUGAAUUGCAGAAUUCAGUGAAUCAUCGAGUCUUUGAACGCACAUUGCGCCCCCUGGUAUUCCGGGGGGCAUGCCUGUCCGAGCGUCAUUGCUGCCCUCAAGCACGGCUUGUGUGUUGGGCCUCCGUCCUCCUCCCGGGGGACGGGCCCGAAAGGCAGCGGCGGCACCGCGUCCGGUCCUCGAGCGUAUGGGGCUUCGUCACCCGCUCUUGUAGGCCCGGCCGGCGCUCGCCGACACAUCAAUCUUUUUUCCAGGUUGACCUCGGAUCAGGUAGGGAUACCCGCUGAACUUAAGCAUAUCAAUAAGGGAGGA